UGGGGAAUCUUCCGCAAUGGACGAAAGUCUGACGGAGCAACGCCGCGUGUAUGAUGAAGGUCUUCGGAUUGUAAAGUACUGUCAUUGGGGAAGAACGGUUUUCUUGAAAAGAUUGAGAAGACAUGACGGUACCCAAGGAGGAAGCCCCGGCUAACUACGUGCCAGCAGCCGCGGUAAUACGUAGGGGGCAAGCGUUGUCCGGAAUUAUUGGGCGUAAAGGGCGCGUAGGCGGGCUUUUAAGUCCGGUGUGAAAGAUCAGGGCUCAACCCUGAGAGUGCAUCGGAAACUGGAGGCCUUGAGGACAGGAGAGGAAAGUGGAAUUCCACGUGUAGCGGUGAAAUGCGUAGAUAUGUGGAGGAACACCAGUGGCGAAGGCGACUUUCUGGACUGUAACUGACGCUGAGGCGCGAAAGCGUGGGGAGCAAAACAGGAUUAGAUACCCUGGUAGUCCACGCCGUAAACGAUGAGUGCUGGGUGUAGAGGGUAUCGACCCCUUCUGUGCCGCAGUUAACACAAUAAGCACUCCCGCCUGGGGAGUACGGCCGCAAGGUUGAAACUUAAAAGAAUUGACGGGGUCAUAGCUGUUUCCU
Molecule: ribosomal RNA, 590 nt
Filed under: uncultured bacterium
Lineage: Bacteria
Description: partial 16S ribosomal RNA
Rfam family: Bacterial small subunit ribosomal RNA
Source: RNAcentral